This is a non-coding RNA of Potamilus streckersoni, 73 nucleotides long. Lineage: Eukaryota; Metazoa; Mollusca; Bivalvia; Unionida; Unionidae. The record is from the annotation of a GenBank genome assembly.
AGCUAUGGUAGGUCAGUUGGUAGAGCAUCAGACUUGUAAUCAAGGGUCAUGGGUUUAAAAACCACCCAAGCCA